Molecule: long non-coding RNA, 676 nt
Organism: Triticum aestivum (bread wheat)
Lineage: Eukaryota; Viridiplantae; Streptophyta; Magnoliopsida; Poales; Poaceae
Exons: 2
Source: RefSeq, a predicted model, not a curated record
UGUUUAACUUAUGUCUGUACUCAGAUAUUGUUGCUUCCGCUGACUCGUCUAUGAUCGAGCGCUUGUAUUCGAGCCCUCGAGGCCCCUGGCUUGUAUUAGGAUGCUUGUAUGACUUAUUUUAUUUUUAGAGUUGUGUUGUGAUAUCUUCCCGUGAGUCCCUGAUCUUGAUCGUACACGUUUGCGUGUAUGAUUAGUGUACGAUUGAAUCGGGGGCGUCGCAACUAUAUAUGGGAACUAUGAUGGAGAAAUAUUUUUUUAUCUCACAUGUGUGAUUGUGGCUUUUUCUGGCUCAAAUAUGUGGAGAACUAUGAUGGAAAGGCAGUGAGAGAGUUUAAGCAGGAAGACAUGCCACGAUACCGCAUGGGUCUGGCGUACAACCUCUUCAUUCACCCAAUGAACAAUGCCCCAAAGGAGCGUGCAUUCAAGGAUGAGUUGGCGGCUUGAUUUUAUGGAAGGUUAAAGACGAACAACCUCGUUUCCUGUUAGGUCUAGUUCAUGCCUGAGGUGGUAGCAUUUUGGUAGGACUAGAGUAGUGUGCGUUGGUACGUAAAGCGAUGAUACCUCCGGUAAACAGAUGUGUUCUUUUGGUAUGUAAACCGAUGAAACUUUAUUGGGUUCAUAACUUGAUCUUUGGAUGAAGCAUUUUUCCGUUCCUAACAUGAUUAUGCAAGGACAA